UGCGUAGGCGGAAUGAUAAGUUAGUGGUGAAAGCCCCCGGCUCAACCGGGGAACUGCCAUUAAUACUGUCAUUCUUGAGUAUAGUUGAAGUGGGCGGAAUGUAUCAUGUAGCGGUGAAAUGCUUAGAUAUGAUACAGAACACCGAUAGCGUAGGCAGCUUGCUAAACUAUAACUGACGCUCAGGCACGAAAGCGUGGGGAGCAAACAGGAUUAGAUACCCUGGUAGACC
This 229-nucleotide ribosomal RNA is filed under the name uncultured bacterium. RNAcentral's name for it is "partial 16S ribosomal RNA". It matches the Rfam family "Bacterial small subunit ribosomal RNA", at positions 568 to 796 of the family's 1533-position model. The record is from RNAcentral.